RNAcentral lists this ribosomal RNA (382 nucleotides) under uncultured eukaryote. RNAcentral's name for it is "partial 18S ribosomal RNA". It matches the Rfam family "Eukaryotic small subunit ribosomal RNA", at positions 592 to 976 of the family's 1831-position model. The record is from RNAcentral.
UGUAAGCGUAUACCAAAGUUGUUGCAGUUAAAACGCUCGUAGUCGGAAUUUGGCAGUUCCGGAUGUGUGCACGUCGUGUGCGCACUUCGCGGGGAUUGCUUUUGUGGUCUUGCGUAGGAUGAGGCACUUUUAUUAGUGAACGUCCUCACGCAACCACUUUUUACUGUGAGAAAAUCAGAGUGCUCAAAGCAGGCAUUUGCCGUGAAUGUAUUAGCAUGGAAUAAUAGAAUAGGACUUGGUUCUAUUUUGUUGGUUUGUUGGGACUGAGUAAGGAUUAAGAGGGACAGUUGGGGGCAUUUGUAUUUCGGUGCUAGAGGUGAAAUUCUUAGAUUACCGAAAGACAAACUGCUGCGAAAGCGUCUGCCAAGGAUGUUUUCAUUGA